Molecule: ribosomal RNA, 435 nt
Filed under: uncultured bacterium
Lineage: Bacteria
Description: partial 16S ribosomal RNA
Rfam family: Bacterial small subunit ribosomal RNA
Source: RNAcentral
AACGAACGCUGGCGGCGUGCCUAACACAUGCAAGUCGAACGAUUGCCUUCGGGUGAUAGUGGCGCACGGGUGCGUAACGCGUGGGAAUCUGCCCUUAGGUUCGGAAUAACAGCUGGAAACGGCUGCUAAUACCGGAUGAUAUCGCGAGAUCAAAGAUUUAUCGCCUGAGGAUGAGCCCGCGUUGGAUUAGGUAGUUGGUGGGGUAAAGGCCUACCAAGCCGACGAUCCAUAGCUGGUCUGAGAGGAUGAUCAGCCACACUGGGACUGAGACACGGCCCAGACUCCUACGGGAGGCAGCAGUGGGGAAUAUUGGACAAUGGGCGCAAGCCUGAUCCAGCAAUGCCGCGUGAGUGAUGAAGGCCCUAGGGUUGUAAAGCUCUUUUACCCGGGAAGAUAAUGACUGUACCGGGAGAAUAAGCCCCGGCUAACUCCGUG